Molecule: RNA transcript, 3613 nt
Organism: Capra hircus (goat)
Lineage: Eukaryota; Metazoa; Chordata; Mammalia; Artiodactyla; Bovidae
Gene: AGBL5
Gene name: ATP/GTP binding protein like 5
Exons: 15
Source: RefSeq, a predicted model, not a curated record
CAAUGGCAGCGCGCCUUACUGGGCGGGUAGCCAGCUGUGCCCGCGGCCAAUAGGCGUGAGACUUCUUGUUUCCUGGCAGAGCGGGGUCCCGGCACCGCGGCGCUCGGGUUUUGUUUGGGUCCUGGGUGGAGGGCCCGGGUGCCGGGGCCCAGGUGGCGCCUCGCUAGCGGGAGAGGGAGCGGGAUCACCGGCCCGGAGAGAGCUCUCAGGGCCUGAGUGGUGCAGGAGGAUGCUUUCCCAGCCCCACCAUGGAGCUGCGCUGUGGGGGAUUGCUGUUCAGUUCUCGCUUUGAUUCAGGGAACCUAGCCCAUGUGGAGAAGGUGGAAUCUGUGUCUAAUGAUGGGGAAGGAGUAGCGGGUGGGGCAUCAGCCUCCACCAGCAGCAUUGCUUCUUCUCCUGACUAUGAAUUCAAUGUGUGGACCCGACCAGACUGUGCUGAAACAGAAUUUGAGAAUGGGAACAGGUCGUGGUUCUACUUCAGCGUCCGAGGAGGAACUCCAGGGAAACUCAUCAAGAUCAAUAUCAUGAACAUGAACAAGCAAAGCAAGCUGUAUUCCCAGGGCAUGGCUCCUUUUGUGCGUACACUGCCCACUCGGCCACGCUGGGAACGCAUUCGAGACCGGCCCACCUUUGAGAUGACAGAGACACAGUUUGUGUUAUCCUUCAUUCACCGUUUCGUGGAAGGCCGUGGGGCUACCACCUUCUUCGCCUUCUGCUACCCGUUCUCCUACAGUGACUGCCAGGAUUUGCUAAGCCAGCUAGACCAGCGCUUUCUGGAGAACAGCCCUACCCACAGCAGCCCCCUGGAUACCAUCUAUUACCAUCGGGAGACCCUCUGCUAUUCUCUGGAUGGACUUCGUGUAGAUCUACUGACGAUCAGUUCCUGCCAUGGGCUUCGAGAAGAUCGAGAGCCCCGUCUAGAGCAGCUAUUCCCUGAUGCCAGCACCCCCCGACCAUUCCGUUUCACAGGCAAGAGAAUAUUCUUCUUAAGCAGUAGGGUACACCCGGGGGAGACUCCAUCUAGCUUUGUCUUCAACGGUUUUCUGGACUUCAUUCUUCGACCUGACGACCCCCGGGCCCAAACCCUACGUCGCCUGUUUGUCUUUAAGCUGAUUCCCAUGUUGAAUCCUGAUGGGGUCGUCCGGGGUCACUACCGCACAGACUCGCGUGGAGUGAAUCUGAACCGUCAGUACCUGAAGCCUGAUGCAGUCCUGCACCCGGCCAUCUAUGGGGCUAAAGCUGUGCUUCUCUACCACCACGUGCAUUCCCGGCUGAACUCCCAGAGUCCCUCUGAGCACCAGCACAGUUCCCAUCUCCCUCCUGAUGCUCCCCUCUCUGACCCUGAGAAAGCUGACAGUCUCCAAAACAGAGCUCACCUUGGGCGCUCAUCCAGCGGGGAUAAACCUGAGGCGUGGACACAGACUGAGGCAGCCGAGCAGAAGCCCAACAGCGUGUGGAUUACGCCACAGGAGUCAGCUGAGGUGGAACAGCCGGCCCCCGAUGCCAUCCCCCCCAGAGAGAGUGGUGUUGCUUACUACGUGGACCUGCACGGACAUGCUUCCAAAAGGGGCUGCUUCAUGUAUGGAAACAGCUUUAGUGACGAGAACACCCAGGUGGAAAAUAUGCUGUAUCCAAAGCUCAUCUCCUUGAACUCAGCCCACUUUGACUUCCAGGGCUGCAAUUUCUCAGAGAAGAACAUGUAUGCCCGAGACCGCAGAGAUGGCCAGUCUAAAGAGGGAAGCGGCCGGGUUGCAAUCUACAAAGCCUCAGGGAUAAUCCACAGCUACACACUUGAAUGCAACUACAACACUGGACGUUCAGUAAACAGCAUCCCUGCCGCCUGCCAUGACAACGGGCGUGCCAGCCCCCCUCCCCCGCCGGCCUUCCCUUCCAGAUACACUGUGGAACUGUUUGAGCAGGUGGGACGAGCUAUGGCCAUUGCAGCUCUGGACAUGGCGGAGUGCAACCCGUGGCCCCGGAUCGUGCUGUCAGAGCACAGCAGCCUAACAAACCUCCGGGCAUGGAUGCUGAAACACGUGCGCAGCAGCCGAGGCCUGAGCACCACUGUGAACAUGAGCUUCAGCAAGAAGAGAGGCUCUCGAACCCCACCCAGAAGUAACAACGGACUGCCUGUUUCCUGCUCUGAAAACACCUUGAGCCGCGCACGAAGUUUUAGUACUGGCACAAGUGCUGGUGGCAGCAGCAGCAGCCAGCAAAAUUCUCCACAGAUGAAGAACUCCCCCAGCUUUCCUUUUCAUGGCAGCCGGCCUGCGGGGCUGCCAGGCCUGGGCUCUAGCACCCAAAAGGUCAGCCACCGGGUGCUGGGCCCCGUCAGAGAGCCCCGAAGCCAGGACAGGAGACAGCGGCAGCAGCCAGUGACCCAUCGCCCUACUUCAAGCAGCCUGGCCCCAUCCCCAACUCCUGCUAGUUCUAACCUAGCCUCUUCACACAUGGGCUCCUGCCUACUGCCCAACUCACUCAGCAUAUCAGGGAGCAGCUGCUCAUUCCUGUCUUCAGGAGACAAGACAGAGGCCGUCAUGGUGAUUGGGAAAGGUCUGCUGGGGGCUGGACCUCGGAUCCCCUGUAUUAGGACCCGACUACAGGUAACAUUUUGGGGUCUUCCCCAGCCCCCAGCUAACAACUCUUGGCAGAGCCCAGCAAGGCGCUAUUCACCUGGGGAGCGGGAGGGAAAAUGCCCAGCAAUGCUUUACAUCCUUGCCCCAGAACCACAGCAGAGAGCUGCUCUGAUGCCUGAAUGCCUGUCUGUCAAGUGCCUCCCAUCCCCUUCAGCCAGGUCUCUUGCUUGCUUCCAGUCCCAGCAUCCCUGCCAGACAUACCCUCACCUCAGCCUGCUAGCUUUGGCUUUGCCUGCCCUUGCCCUUAGCUUCUCCUCUCUUUCUGCCCAGACCUGCCCGAGGAGACUACCCGCCAGGAGGGGUCCCGGAUUCCCCAGGCUAGGCCCAGGUUGGCCCAGGGCUCACCGCCGACUCGCAGAGGGAUGAGAGGCUCUUCGGGCCCCACAUCCCCUAUCCCCCAGACCAAGAAGAACAGUGAGCCGGAGCUGGGACCCCGCUGCACACCACGGCUGCCUCAGGCCGGGCCCCCGCGGCCCCGCUCCGCCCCCGCCUUUUCUCCUAUUUCCUGUAGUCUGUCUGGCUCCCAGUCUCGGAUUUGUUAUAGUGGGGGGCCCUUGGGCCAAACCGAGGUUUGUUUUGUCCCUAAAUCUCCCCCAUUCACUCUUUCUCCCCGGGUCUGAUGCCUUCAAGCCCAGGAUAUGACCCCACAAUGGGGAACACAGUGACAAAUGUGCUAGUCCCCUUUUUCAGCUGCUGAUUCCAUGUGACAACUCUAUGUAACUUCUUAGAACACCCAACACACUGUUCUGAGACAUUGCAAAGCAUCACCUUGAGACAGGACAAAGCAGGGACCUGCCACCCCUUCCCUCCCUCCACAGCAGAAGAUUUUGGGACCACAAAUAUAUAUAUAUUUUUUUAUAUUAGGGGGAGGGAGUAGAAAAGAAAGUAGCCCCUAUACUGGGCCCUAUUCAGUGGCAGCUUCUUGUUCCAUAGGGUUAAGGAAGACUUUCAGGAAAUAAAAGUUGUUUGGAAAAAUC